Molecule: long non-coding RNA, 648 nt
Filed under: Zostera marina
Lineage: Eukaryota; Viridiplantae; Streptophyta; Magnoliopsida; Alismatales; Zosteraceae
Description: long non-coding RNA (ZMAR_LNC002064)
Source: RNAcentral
CCGAUUAAACUAAAUUAGUUUCAAUUAAAGAAAAUUAGUUGUUAGUUAAUUGUAAUGGUUAGUUGUAAACAAUGUAUAAAUGAUUGAGUUGUAAACUUUUAAUCAAACUAAUUACACAAGUUAAUUGAAAUUACACAAAUUAAUCAAACAAAAGAAGAUUAACAAAUUUCAUAUUUUCCCCCCAAUUCUUUCUCCCCUUUCUUCUUCAUUCAACGACAGUUAGGUUAGUUUUCCCCCCUUUCCUUGUGGGCGGAAAAACCUAAACCUCAAACUUCCGGCGAUCGUCGCCAAUCGUUCUCCAAGUUCCAGACGCUCCGACGUUACCUUCGGGACUUCGUCUCCACCAGAAAUUAACAAAAUGUACACGAACCCAUGGGAAAAUGAAUCGUAGCAAGCGAGAGCGCGGAAACGAAAAAUAAGGUGAAGAAAGCAACGAAAGGAUGACGAAGAUGACAAAGAACGGAAAAUAAGGUGAAGAACGAAAGAUGACGAAGAAAGAGAUGGCUGACAUGAACACAGAAAAUGGCAAGAAGAGGACGAAGGACCUAGCUUGGACCUAAGUAGAGGCUACUAACUAGAACCUAGCCUCUGUAGACCUAUAAGUAGAUGCUAUUAACCCUAGACCUAUAGACAGACGCAAGAAGCUAG